RNAcentral lists this ribosomal RNA (2215 nucleotides) under Escherichia coli. RNAcentral's name for it is "partial 23S ribosomal RNA". It matches the Rfam family "Bacterial large subunit ribosomal RNA", at positions 598 to 2797 of the family's 2925-position model. Lineage: Bacteria; Pseudomonadati; Pseudomonadota; Gammaproteobacteria; Enterobacterales; Enterobacteriaceae. The record is from RNAcentral.
UGCGUACCUUUUGUAUAAUGGGUCAGCGACUUAUAUUCUGUAGCAAGGUUAACCGAAUAGGGGAGCCGAAGGGAAACCGAGUCUUAACUGGGCGUUAAGUUGCAGGGUAUAGACCCGAAACCCGGUGAUCUAGCCAUGGGCAGGUUGAAGGUUGGGUAACACUAACUGGAGGACCGAACCGACUAAUGUUGAAAAAUUAGCGGAUGACUUGUGGCUGGGGGUGAAAGGCCAAUCAAACCGGGAGAUAGCUGGUUCUCCCCGAAAGCUAUUUAGGUAGCGCCUCGUGAAUUCAUCUCCGGGGGUAGAGCACUGUUUCGGCAAGGGGGUCAUCCCGACUUACCAACCCGAUGCAAACUGCGAAUACCGGAGAAUGUUAUCACGGGAGACACACGGCGGGUGCUAACGUCCGUCGUGAAGAGGGAAACAACCCAGACCGCCAGCUAAGGUCCCAAAGUCAUGGUUAAGUGGGAAACGAUGUGGGAAGGCCCAGACAGCCAGGAUGUUGGCUUAGAAGCAGCCAUCAUUUAAAGAAAGCGUAAUAGCUCACUGGUCGAGUCGGCCUGCGCGGAAGAUGUAACGGGGCUAAACCAUGCACCGAAGCUGCGGCAGCGACACUAUGUGUUGUUGGGUAGGGGAGCGUUCUGUAAGCCUGUGAAGGUGGCCUGUGAGGGUUGCUGGAGGUAUCAGAAGUGCGAAUGCUGACAUAAGUAACGAUAAAGCGGGUGAAAAGCCCGCUCGCCGGAAGACCAAGGGUUCCUGUCCAACGUUAAUCGGGGCAGGGUGAGUCGACCCCUAAGGCGAGGCCGAAAGGCGUAGUCGAUGGGAAACAGGUUAAUAUUCCUGUACUUGGUGUUACUGCGAAGGGGGGACGGAGAAGGCUAUGUUGGCCGGGCGACGGUUGUCCCGGUUUAAGCGUGUAGGCUGGUUUUCCAGGCAAAUCCGGAAAACCAAGGCUGAGGCGUGAUGACGAGGCACUACGGUGCUGAAGCGACAAAUGCCCUGCUUCCAGGAAAAGCCUCUAAGCAUCAGGUAACAUCAAAUCGUACCCCAAACCGACACAGGUGGUCAGGUAGAGAAUACCAAGGCGCUUGAGAGAACUCGGGUGAAGGAACUAGGCAAAAUGGUGCCGUAACUUCGGGAGAAGGCACGCUGAUAUGUAGGUGAAGCGACUUGCUCGUGGAGCUGAAAUCAGUCGAAGAUACCAGCUGGCUGCAACUGUUUAUUAAAAACACAGCACUGUGCAAACACGAAAGUGGACGUAUACGGUGUGACGCCUGCCCGGUGCCGGAAGGUUAAUUGAUGGGGUUAGCGGUAACGCGAAGCUCUUGAUCGAAGCCCCGGUAAACGGCGGCCGUAACUAUAACGGUCCUAAGGUAGCGAAAUUCCUUGUCGGGUAAGUUCCGACCUGCACGAAUGGCGUAAUGAUGGCCAGGCUGUCUCCACCCGAGACUCAGUGAAAUUGAACUCGCUGUGAAGAUGCAGUGUACCCGCGGCAAGACGGAAAGACCCCGUGAACCUUUACUAUAGCUUGACACUGAACAUUGAGCCUUGAUGUGUAGGAUAGGUGGGAGGCUUUGAAGUGUGGACGCCAGUCUGCAUGGAGCCGACCUUGAAAUACCACCCUUUAAUGUUUGAUGUUCUAACGUUGGCCCGUAAUCCGGGUUGCGGACAGUGUCUGGUGGGUAGUUUGACUGGGGCGGUCUCCUCCUAAAGAGUAACGGAGGAGCACGAAGGUUGGCUAAUCCUGGUCGGACAUCAGGAGGUUAGUGCAAUGGCAUAAGCCAGCUUGACUGCGAGCGUGACGGCGCGAGCAGGUGCGAAAGCAGGUCAUAGUGAUCCGGUGGUUCUGAAUGGAAGGGCCAUCGCUCAACGGAUAAAAGGUACUCCGGGGAUAACAGGCUGAUACCGCCCAAGAGUUCAUAUCGACGGCGGUGUUUGGCACCUCGAUGUCGGCUCAUCACAUCCUGGGGCUGAAGUAGGUCCCAAGGGUAUGGCUGUUCGCCAUUUAAAGUGGUACGCGAGCUGGGUUUAGAACGUCGUGAGACAGUUCGGUCCCUAUCUGCCGUGGGCGCUGGAGAACUGAGGGGGGCUGCUCCUAGUACGAGAGGACCGGAGUGGACGCAUCACUGGUGUUCGGGUUGUCAUGCCAAUGGCACUGCCCGGUAGCUAAAUGCGGAAGAGAUAAGUGCUGAAAGCAUCUAAGCACGAAACUUGC